UCGAACGCGAAAGUGGAGCAAUCCAUGAGUAGAGUGGCAAACGGGUGAGUAACACGUGGGUGACCUGCCUUCGAGUGGGGGAUAACGUCCCGAAAGGGACGCUAAUACCGCAUAACAUGCUGUCUUUUAAGAGAUGGACAUCAAAGCCGGGGACCGCAAGGCCUGGCGCUUGAAGAGGGGCCCGCGCCUGAUUAGCUAGUUGGUGGGGUAAUGGCUCACCAAGGCAACGAUCAGUAUCCGGCCUGAGAGGGCGGACGGACACACUGGGACUGAGACACGGCCCAGACUCCUACGGGAGGCAGCAGUGGGGAAUUGUUCGCAAUGGGCGCAAGCCUGACGACGCAACGCCGCGUGGAGGAUGAAGAUCUUCGGGUCGUAAACUCCUUUCGAUCGAGACGAACGGCCUCCGGGCUAACAUCCUGGAGGAGUGACGGUACCGAGAGAAGAAGCCCCGGCUAACUCCGUGCCAGCAGCCGCGGUAAUACGGGGGGGGCAAGCGUUGUUCGGAAUUACUGGGCGUAAAGGGCUCGUAGGCGGCCAACUAAGUCAUACGUGAAAUCCCUCGGCUUAACCGGGGAACUGCGUCUGAUACUGGAUGGCUUGAGUUCGGGAGAGGGAUGCGGAAUUCCAGGUGUAGCGGUGAAAUGCGUAGAUAUCUGGAGGAACACCGGUGGCGAAGGCGGCAUCCUGGACCGAUACUGACGCUGAGGAGCGAAAGCCAG
Molecule: ribosomal RNA, 722 nt
Filed under: uncultured bacterium
Lineage: Bacteria
Description: bacterial SSU rRNA
Rfam family: Bacterial small subunit ribosomal RNA
Source: RNAcentral